Molecule: ribosomal RNA, 440 nt
Filed under: uncultured bacterium
Lineage: Bacteria
Description: partial 16S ribosomal RNA
Rfam family: Bacterial small subunit ribosomal RNA
Source: RNAcentral
CCUACGGGUGGCAGCAGUGAGGAAUAUUGCUCAAUGGGGGAAACCCUGAUCCAGCGACGCCGCGUGAGUGAAGAAGUAAUUCGUUAUUUAAAGCUCUUUUAGCAGGGAAGAAAAUGACGGUACCUGAGUCCGAAGCCCCGGCUAACUACGUACCAGCAGCCGCAGUAAUAGGUAGGGGGCACGCGUUAUCCGGAUUUACUGGGUGUAAAGGGGGCGUAGGCGGGAGUGCAGGGCGGGAGGGAAAAGCGGGGGCUCAACCCCCGGACUGCUGUGGAAACUGUACGGCUGGAGUGCAGGAGAGGUAAGUGGAAUGCGUGGUGUAGCGGUGAAAUGCGUAGAUAUUAGGAGGAACACCGAUGGCGAAGGCAGCUUACUGGACUGUAACUGACGUUGAGGCACGAAAGCGUGGGGAGCAAACAGGAUUAGAUACCCGAGUAGUC